CGGAGGAAAAGAAACUAACAAGGAUUCCCCUAGUAGCGGCGAGCGAAGCGGGAAGAGCCCGGGAUGAAAAUCUCUGCGGAGAAUUGUAGUCUGAGCGUCCUUGGGUGGUCAGUGCGGGCAAGUCGUCUGGAAUGGCGCGCCAUGGAGGGUGAGAGCCCCGUCCAUCCCGCACAGGAUCCAUCCGCACAAGGGCGCUUCAACCGAGUCGGGUAGCUUGGGAAUGCUGCUCUAAUUGGUGGUAAAUCUCAUCAAAGGCUAAAUAGCGGUGGGAGACCGAUAGCGAACAAGUACCGUGAGGGAAAGAUGGAAAGAACUUUGAAAAGAGAGUGAAAAGCACUUGAAACCGUCACGGGGGAAGCGGAUUGCGUGAGUGAUGGCGCCGCUUGUUCAGCGCAUUCGUGCGUGCAUUCUGGCGGCGCCGUGCCGGCGUGGCUGGCGGGCGCGGUAUGUUACCGGGCGCGCUGGUGAGGGCUCCCUUCACAGGUGAGGACGCGGGCAAAAUGACGCAAUACGACCCGUCUUGAAACACGGACCAAGGAGUCUAGCACGGCUGCGAGUCGAAGGGUGAUGAAACCCAAGGGCGCAGUGAAAGCGAAGUGAUAAGCAAAUUGGGGAGGCGUUGCGUUUUCAACAAAAUGUCCUACCUCGAGCAUUUGUGCUGGGACCCGAAAGAUGGUGAACUAUGCCGGAGUAGGGCAAAGCCAGAGGAAACUCUGGUGGAGGCUCGUAGCGAUGCUGACGUGCAAAUCGCUCGUCGAACUUGGGUAUAGGGGCGAAAGACUAAUCGAACCAUCUAGUAGCUGGUUCCCUCCGAAGUUUCUCUCAGGAUAGCGGGCCGACACGCGUUUGUUGUUUUGUGCGGUAAAGCGAAUGAUUAGUGCAUUUGGGGACCGAAGGUCUUCGGGCGAUUCUCAAACUUUAAAUGCGCAAGGGGGCGGCUGCUUAAUUGAGCCUGCUCUUUGAAAAACGUCGGCCCUGUGGGCCACUUUUGGUAAGCAGAACUGGCGAUAAGGGAUGAACCUUAAGCGCGGUUAAGGCGCCUCAUUGCCCGCUUAUAGACCCCACAAAAGGUGUUGAUUCAUCUAGACAGCAGGACGGUGGCCAUGGAAGUCGGAAUCCGCUAAGGAGU
Molecule: ribosomal RNA, 1129 nt
Filed under: Ottia meiospora
Lineage: Eukaryota; Rhodophyta; Florideophyceae; Ottiales; Ottiaceae
Description: eukaryotic LSU rRNA
Rfam family: Eukaryotic large subunit ribosomal RNA
Source: RNAcentral